This 495-nucleotide ribosomal RNA is filed under the name uncultured bacterium. RNAcentral's name for it is "partial 16S ribosomal RNA". It matches the Rfam family "Bacterial small subunit ribosomal RNA", at positions 28 to 507 of the family's 1533-position model. The record is from RNAcentral.
GACGAACGCUGGCGGCGUGCCUAAUACAUGCAAGUAGAACGCUGAAGGAGGAGCUUGCUUCUCCGGAUGAGUUGCGAACGGGUGAGUAACGCGUAGGUAACCUGCCUGGUAGCGGGGGAUAACUAUUGGAAACGAUAGCUAAUACCGCAUAAGAGUAGAUGUCGCAUGACAUUUGCUUAAAAGGUGCAACUGCACCACUACCAGAUGGACCUGCGUUGUAUUAGCUAGUUGGUGAGGUAACGGCUCACCAAGGCAACGAUACAUAGCCGACCUGAGAGGGGGGUCGGCCACCCUGGGACUGAGACACGGCCCAGACUCCUACGGGAGGCAGCAGUAGGGAAUCUUCGGCAAUGGACGGAAGUCUGACCGAGCAACGCCGCGUGAGUGAAGAAGGUUUUCGGAUCGUAAAGCUCUGUUGUAAGAGAAGAACGAGUGUGAGAGUGGAAAGUUCACACUGUGACGGUAUCUUACCAGAAAGGGACGGCUAACUACGUG